Molecule: ribosomal RNA, 388 nt
Filed under: uncultured bacterium
Lineage: Bacteria
Description: partial 16S ribosomal RNA
Rfam family: Bacterial small subunit ribosomal RNA
Source: RNAcentral
UGGGGAAUAUUGCACAAUGGGCGAAAGCCUGAUGCAGCGACGCCGCGUGCGGGAUGAAGGCCUUCGGGUUGUAAACCGCUUUUGAUUGGGAGCAAGCGAGAGUGAGUGUACCUUUCGAAUAAGCACCGGCUAACUACGUGCCAGCAGCCGCGGUAAUACGUAGGGUGCAAGCGUUAUCCGGAAUUAUUGGGCGUAAAGAGCUCGUAGGCGGUUUGUCGCGUCUGGUGUGAAAGUCCAUCGCUUAACGGUGGAUCUGCGCCGGGUACGGGCAGGCUAGAGUGCGACAGGGGAGACUGGAAUUCCCGGUGUAACGGUGGAAUGUGUAGAUAUCGGGAAGAACACCAAUGGCGAAGGCAGGUCUCUGGGUCGUCACUGACGCUGAGGAGCG